RNAcentral lists this ribosomal RNA (442 nucleotides) under uncultured bacterium. RNAcentral's name for it is "partial 16S ribosomal RNA". It matches the Rfam family "Bacterial small subunit ribosomal RNA", at positions 338 to 795 of the family's 1533-position model. The record is from RNAcentral.
CCUACGGGCGGCAGCAGUGGGGAAUAUUGGGCAAUGGGCGCAAGCCUGACCCAGCAACGCCGCGUGAAGGAAGAAGGCUUUCGGGUUGUAAACUUCUUUUUAGAGGGAAGAGCAGAAGACGGUACCUCUUGAAUAAGCCACGGCUAACUACGUGCCAGCAGCCGCGGUAAUACGUAGGUGGCAAGCGUUGUCCGGAUUUACUGGGUGUAAAGGGCGUGUAGCCGGGCUGACAAGUCAGAUGUGAAAUUUCGGGGCUCAACCCCGGACCUGCAUUUGAAACUGUUGGUCUUGAGUAUCGUAGAGGCAGGCGGAAUUCCUGGUGUAGCGGUGAAAUGCGUAGAUAUUAGGAGGAACACCGGUGGCGAAGGCAGCCUGCUGAACGGCAACUGACGGUGAGGCGCGAAAGCGUGGGGAGCAAACAGGAUUAGAUACCCGUGUAGUC